CGGUCCGCAGUAAAAGGACCGGGAUGGAGCCAGCGUUCGAUUUUCCAAGGAACGCGGUGCCUGAGAGAGUACGUGCACACGAAUGCACGCGUACGCACGCUAUGGGGAGGGGAAGGGUGUGUGCCGGAGCGACAAGAGGAUUCUGGAAAGGAAGGAGGUGCAGUUUACUGUUUCAACUGUUUUUGUCUUAGGAAAUGAAGAAAUGAAGAGCAUAGAGGAGCGUUUAUGCUGUGGCUUUGUUGCGCGACCUGCUUGGUGCAAGCUUGGCGCUCCCAUUACCUCGCUUUCUGUGCUCAGUCUGCACCGAAGAAAACUUAUUCUCCACUCUCUUCCAGCAAGUCAUUUUCUUCAUGGAGCAUCCUUGACUUUUCUCUCUAUAUCUUAGCUGAAUCCUUUACUUAUACUUCACUUCUCAGUUUAGAGCUAAACUUAAAAAAAAUCUGAACAAAGCGAAUCACAUAUUUUAAAGUCUCAAUUGCUUCAAACUAUGUGUCGGCCCUCUUCUUUUCCUUUAGCUGUGGCAUUUAACUAUUCUGGCAUUAAAACAAUUCAUUAAUUUAUAUGCCACCUGUAGGGCAUUUUCUGAACUCCUGAUUGACCGGGGAGAGCCUAGCCCAUGGUGGGUGGUGCCAUCCCUGGGCUUGUGGUCCUGAGUUCUGUAAGGAAGCGGGCACUGUAAGCCACGAUGAGCAAGCCAGUCAGCAGCCCUCCUCCAGGCCUAUGAACCAGCUUCUGCCUCCAGGUUCCUGCCCUGCUUGAGUUCCUGUCCUCAGGCUUUUGUGAUGAACAGACUGUGAGUGAAAUAAACCUUUUCCUCCACAAACUGCUUCCGAUCAUGGUGCUUCAUCGCGGCAAUAGUAACCCUGACUAAGACACAGUCUAAGCGGUCCCUGGUGGUGGUCACUUCUCAAGGGAGAGUGACCGCACACUUUCCAAAGAAGAGGACGGGCCAAGCAGCCUCUCCAACGCAGCUGUCGGCAGCUUAUUUUAACUGUGUUAUCUUAGGUUGGAGUUCCUCCAUCUGUCUUCUUCCCGUGUAAUCCAAUAUUUCCCAAGUAAGCUUCUUAGGAAAUUCAGCUUAUUUUGACUAAAAACUUUUUGACGUUUUUCUCCUUUUCAGGAGUUGUACAUACUUAACAUAUGUAUAAGUUCUGAAAUAGACUUCUUUCUCACACUUCUUUACACAUCACAAUGCCUCAGACCUAUGGUAAUGACAAAGCCUUCUGUUUGCAGGUGAGGUUUGGAGUUGGCAAGGCUGUUCCUCCGGUCUGUGAAGGAAUGUUGACAGUGUGUGCAAGUUCGAUAUUUACAAAUGAUUGGCCAAUGUGUGCAAAAACUAGCAACUACUGCAGGUCUCUCUUCCUGGAUGUUUAUAGCGGGGAAACUAACUAUAGAGACCUCUUACUUCCUACAGAAUCUAGCUAACCCCUCCUCCUAUGCUUCAGGUGUCCAGGACCACGCUGUGCAGGAGGUGACAGAAGAGGGUGUCAGACAACCUGGAAGUGGAGUUACAGGUGCCAUGUGGAUGCUGGGAUUCAAACUCAUGUCCCUGGCAGGAACAGCCUCUGCUUUAAGCUACUGAACCAUCUUUCCACUCUGUGAGAGUAAACACUAAUAAAAUACAUGGACAAGUUGAUUUUUCAUUUUGUUUGUUUCUUUAUAUAUAUAUAUUUAUAUAUUUAUUGAGAGAAGGUUUUGCUAGAUAACUUAAGCUGCUCUCAAAUGUGGCCUUUUUAUCUUAGCCUCCAAAACGAUACAUGUGUGUAUUACCAAGCCCAGCU
This is a long non-coding RNA of Meriones unguiculatus (Mongolian gerbil), 1781 nucleotides long. RefSeq lists it as uncharacterized. The record is from RefSeq and is a predicted model, not a curated record. The transcript is spliced from 3 exons. NCBI's taxonomy places the organism in Eukaryota, Metazoa, Chordata, Mammalia, Rodentia, Muridae.